UUGUCUCUGAAGAUGUGUCCCAGUUCCUUAUUACAUAUUACCAAGUUUUGAGUUCAAAGAGUGUUCGCGCUGAAUAAAUAACAACUUAAAGUUUACUGCUGAAUGUCAGUUUGGUACUUAUUUGACUUUUUUAGUUAGUUUUUUAGUGUUUGGUUGUUAGAUAUCCCAGAAUGCAGUGGAGAAGCUGCUCACAGCUCGAAACAUUUCAGACUUAUUGUUCUGGACUCCAGAAAUGUGAUGGUAAACAUAGGAAAAGAUUUCUCUCUAUUAAAGAUAUUUUCAAUGCUCCGAAGUUGCAGUUUUGCUGUAUUAAAGUCUAUUCAUUUCUUGUAUUCUAACUGCAAAAAUAGUUUAUUUGGAGUAUGAAAAUCACAGUAUUGUAUUGGUAUGUAGUUUCGUGUUGGGACACAGCUUUAGGCCUCAUUCAAGAAGAGAACAAACGUCUCAAUCUGAGUUCAAAGUGAUUGGUUUCCUCUUUGCAAAGUGGAGAUGAAUUAUAUCGGAUUGAGAAAAGUGAUGCGAGAAAUGAAACCACAACAUUUUUUGUAGCAUCCACACCUAACAAACUGAAGCAUGCUGGAAUUAGUUACUCUUUCAGAUACGAACCUCUGCUCUUCUGCUGUUGUAGGACUUAGCAUGACUUGGAACAGCGACUUGAACAGCAGCCUCUCCUUGAUCUCUCUGAGAUCUUAUUUAACGGUUUUCAAACUUGUUUUGAAGUUUAUGGUUUGGAGCAGCGUCCACAGAACUUUCCACCAUAAAUGCUCUAUCAGUCAGUCUUAUCAAGUAUAAAAUUUAUGGCUUUUUGUUGCCAGUUGCCUCUUUGAACAUGAUUAUUUUCCCUUUUUAACAGUCCCUUUGGUCCGCUACAGUGUUCAAUUUUUAUUGGUAUGAGCCUGUUUUUUUUUUGUUUUUUUUUUUGGUUUUUAUGUUUUAUAUAAUUCUUUAUUUUUCAUGCGCAGAUUUGGAGCAGCACAGCUGCUGUUAUAAACGAUGUGGUGGAUAAACUGGCCUUCUCUCUCUUCACAGACUGUUGCCAUGGUGACAAUAAUGAGAACAGAUGUUGUAGUCACGAGAAGUGGGCGUGAUCACGAUAACACACUCUAUAAACACCCGAG
Molecule: long non-coding RNA, 1118 nt
Organism: Amphiprion ocellaris (clown anemonefish)
Lineage: Eukaryota; Metazoa; Chordata; Actinopteri; Pomacentridae
Source: Ensembl